RNAcentral lists this long non-coding RNA (433 nucleotides) under Amborella trichopoda. RNAcentral describes it as "long non-coding RNA (ATRI_LNC001120)". Lineage: Eukaryota; Viridiplantae; Streptophyta; Magnoliopsida; Amborellales; Amborellaceae. The record is from RNAcentral.
GGUUCAGAUAGUUCUUCUACCAAUACUGAGACUACUACAUAAUCAUCAGAAGAUUGUAGUUGUCCUUUACCUCAGCAUAAUGUUCACACACUCACCCAGGAAGAUAAUUUUAUACUAGACAUUAUAGAUAAAAUAACUGAUCCUGAGGAGAAAAGAGCUAUCAUAACCCAAUUUAUUAAUAUUACCAAAAAUAAAUCAAAAUCACCUAUUAUCAAAAAUCCAGAUGAAUAUAAUUUCUCUGCUAUUAUCAAAAGAGUAAGUGAUCAACAUACUUCUCAAAAAGAACCUACAAUCUCUGAUCUCAAAAAAGAGAUUAAAGAAAUAAAAUCCGAAAUAGUACAAUUAAAAGGAAGAAUUCAAAUAUUAGAAUUACAACAAAUGUCUCAACAAGAUUCUGAGACAGAUGAAAUAGAAUUCAAUGAUUUGAUCACAG